CUCAAGUGUAGCUGGGAUAUAUAAACUGCAGAGUCAGAGCAUGUAUGUGACCCAAUCAAAUUUGAUUUGACAGACUCAUUCUUCCAAUCAUGAAGUCUGUAGAAAUUGCGCCAGAAAGUGUGCUUGUCGCGCCUCCUCGUCACCGCUGGAUGGACAGUGCGGGGUGGUCAGUAGCUGGAGUCCGUUUUCAACGACAUGAAGUCUGGGUCUGAGCCUCUCAUUCACUCGGACAGGAGAACGACACGCAGAAGCAUGGAAUUGGAUAUUUAUUUCCAGGAAUACACAGACCAUGCAGCACAGACAGAAAACAAUGGGGGAUACAUGUCAACAGAUCCUGUCACGGUGUCUUCACAACGAUUCAACUUGGACAUUAAGCUCCACCCUGAGUCUCCACCCUACCACAACAGACCUCUGGUAACCAGCGCAGGACAGUCACUAAACAGAAGAAAAUAGACCGAAACUCUUGUGUGCAUUAAUGCAUACGACCCUGGAUACUGUUUCAGCAAACUGAAGUCUUAGGCUGUUCAGUGGACACUAGAUGGGGUAGAUCAUUACAUUGAUUGUUUUUAUUAAUGUGUUUCUAUUUUUGUAAGCUGCACUGACAUUCUGUUUUCUGGAUUGUAAACUGCUUUAAGUGCACUGUUGUGGCACAUGUUUUCAUAUGUGUAAAUAAAACCAAUCUAUAUAUUUGCC
This is a long non-coding RNA of Salmo salar (Atlantic salmon), 693 nucleotides long. RefSeq lists it as uncharacterized. The record is from RefSeq and is a predicted model, not a curated record. Lineage: Eukaryota; Metazoa; Chordata; Actinopteri; Salmoniformes; Salmonidae.